GACGAACGCUGGCGGCGUGCUUAACACAUGCAAGUCGAACGGAAAGGCCCUGCUUUUGUGGGGUGCCCGAGUGGCGAACGGGUGAGUAACACGUGAGUAACCUGCCCUUGACUUUGGGAUAACUUCAGGAAACUGGGGCUAAUACCGGAUAGGAGCUCCUGCUGCAUGGUGGGGGUUGGAAAGUUUCGGCGGUUGGGGAUGGACUCGCGGCUUAUCAGCUUGUUGGUGGGGUAGUGGCUUACCAAGGCUUUGACGGGUAGCCGGCCUGAGAGGGUGACCGGCCACAUUGGGACUGAGAUACGGCGCAGACUCCUACGGGAGGCAGCAGUGGGGAAUAUUGCACAAUGGGCGGAAGCCUGAUGCAGCAACGCCGCGUGCGGGAUGACGGCCUUCGGGUUGUAAACCGCUUUCGCCUGUGACGAAGCGUGAGUGACGGUAAUGGGUAAAGAAGCACCGGCUAACUACGUG
Molecule: ribosomal RNA, 468 nt
Filed under: uncultured bacterium
Lineage: Bacteria
Description: partial 16S ribosomal RNA
Rfam family: Bacterial small subunit ribosomal RNA
Source: RNAcentral